RNAcentral lists this ribosomal RNA (301 nucleotides) under uncultured bacterium. RNAcentral describes it as "partial 16S ribosomal RNA". It matches the Rfam family "Bacterial small subunit ribosomal RNA", at positions 509 to 807 of the family's 1533-position model. The record is from RNAcentral.
CAGUAGCCGCGGUAAUACGAAGGGUGCAAGCGUUAAUCGGAAUUACUGGGCGUAAAGCGUGCGUAGGCGGUUUGUUAAGUCUGCUGUGAAAUCCCCGGGCUCAACCUGGGAAUGGCAGUGGAUACUGGCAAGCUAGAGUGUGUCAGAGGAUGGUGGAAUUCCCGGUGUAGCGGUGAAAUGCGUAGAGAUCGGGAGGAACAUCGGUGGCGAAGGCGGCCAUCUGGGACAACACUGGCGCUGAGGCACGAAAGCGUGGGGAGCAAACAGGAUUAGAUACCCCCGUAGUCCCUGUCUCUUAUAC